CUGGAUAGAAUAACUAGCAUAAAAGCAUCUGAUCCUGUCUGACCUUGGAAGCUAAGCAAGGUCAGCACUGGUUAGUAUUUGGGAGAGAAAUUGCAAAUGAAUACUAGUUGCUGCUCAGU
Molecule: ribosomal RNA, 119 nt
Filed under: Anolis carolinensis (green anole)
Lineage: Eukaryota; Metazoa; Chordata; Lepidosauria; Squamata; Anolidae
Source: RNAcentral